UACGUAGGGCGCAAGCGUUGUCCGGAAUUAUUGGGCGUAAAGAGCUCGUAGGCGGCUUGUCACGUCGGGUGUGAAAGCCCGGGGCUUAACCUGGAGACGCCACCCGAUACUGCUGUGGCUAGAGUCCGGUAGGGGAGCGUGGAAUUCCUGGUGUGAGCGGUGAAAUGCGCAGAGUAUCAGGAGGAACACCAGCGGCGAAGGCGGCGCUCUGGGCCGGUACUGACGCUGAGGAGCGAAAGCGUGGGGAGCGAACAGG
Molecule: ribosomal RNA, 256 nt
Filed under: uncultured bacterium
Lineage: Bacteria
Description: partial 16S ribosomal RNA
Rfam family: Bacterial small subunit ribosomal RNA
Source: RNAcentral